UUAAGCGACUAAGCGUACACGGUGGAUGCCCUGGCAGUCAGAGGCGAUGAAGGACGUGCUAAUCUGCGAUAAGCGUCGGUAAGGUGAUAUGAACCGUUAUAACCGGCGAUUUCCGAAUGGGGAAACCCAGUGUGAUUCGUCACACUAUCAUUAACUGAAUCCAUAGGUUAAUGAGGCGAACCGGGGGAACUGAAACAUCUAAGUACCCCGAGGAAAAGAAAUCAACCGAGAUUCCCCCAGUAGCGGCGAGCGAACGGGGAGGAGCCCAGAGCCUGAAUCAGUGUGUGUGUUAGUGGAAGCGUCUGGAAAGGCGCGCGAUACAGGGUGACAGCCCCGUACACAAAAAUGCACAUGCUGUGAGCUCGAUGAGUAGGGCGGGACACGUGGUAUCCUGUCUGAAUAUGGGGGGACCAUCCUCCAAGGCUAAAUACUCCUGACUGACCGAUAGUGAACCAGUACCGUGAGGGAAAGGCGAAAAGAACCCCGGCGAGGGGAGUGAAAAAGAACCUGAAACCGUGUACGUACAAGCAGUGGGAGCCUCUUUUAUGGGGUGACUGCGUACCUUUUGUAUAAUGGGUCAGCGACUUAUAUUCUGUAGCAAGGUUAACCGAAUAGGGGAGCCGAAGGGAAACCGAGUCUUAACUGGGCGUUAAGUUGCAGGGUAUAGACCCGAAACCCGGUGAUCUAGCCAUGGGCAGGUUGAAGGUUGGGUAACACUAACUGGAGGACCGAACCGACUAAUGUUGAAAAAUUAGCGGAUGACUUGUGGCUGGGGGUGAAAGGCCAAUCAAACCGGGAGAUAGCUGGUUCUCCCCGAAAGCUAUUUAGGUAGCGCCUCGUGAAUUCAUCUCCGGGGGUAGAGCACUGUUUCGGCAAGGGGGUCAUCCCGACUUACCAACCCGAUGCAAACUGCGAAUACCGGAGAAUGUUAUCACGGGAGACACACGGCGGGUGCUAACGUCCGUCGUGAAGAGGGAAACAACCCAGACCGCCAGCUAAGGUCCCAAAGUCAUGGUUAAGUGGGAAACGAUGUGGGAAGGCCCAGACAGCCAGGAUGUUGGCUUAGAAGCAGCCAUCAUUUAAAGAAAGCGUAAUAGCUCACUGGUCGAGUCGGCCUGCGCGGAAGAUGUAACGGGGCUAAACCAUGCACCGAAGCUGCGGCAGCGACACUAUGUGUUGUUGGGUAGGGGAGCGUUCUGUAAGCCUGUGAAGGUGUACUGUGAGGUAUGCUGGAGGUAUCAGAAGUGCGAAUGCUGACAUAAGUAACGAUAAAGCGGGUGAAAAGCCCGCUCGCCGGAAGACCAAGGGUUCCUGUCCAACGUUAAUCGGGGCAGGGUGAGUCGACCCCUAAGGCGAGGCCGAAAGGCGUAGUCGAUGGGAAACAGGUUAAUAUUCCUGUACUUGGUGUUACUGCGAAGGGGGGACGGAGAAGGCUAUGUUGGCCGGGCGACGGUUGUCCCGGUUUAAGCGUGUAGGCUGGUUUUCCAGGCAAAUCCGGAAAAUCAAGGCUGAGGCGUGAUGACGAGGCACUACGGUGCUGAAGCAACAAAUGCCCUGCUUCCAGGAAAAGCCUCUAAGCAUCAGGUAACAUCAAAUCGUACCCCAAACCGACACAGGUGGUCAGGUAGAGAAUACCAAGGCGCUUGAGAGAACUCGGGUGAAGGAACUAGGCAAAAUGGUGCCGUAACUUCGGGAGAAGGCACGCUGAUAUGUAGGUGAAGUCCCUCGCGGAUGGAGCUGAAAUCAGUCGAAGAUACCAGCUGGCUGCAACUGUUUAUUAAAAACACAGCACUGUGCAAACACGAAAGUGGACGUAUACGGUGUGACGCCUGCCCGGUGCCGGAAGGUUAAUUGAUGGGGUCAGCGCAAGCGAAGCUCUUGAUCGAAGCCCCGGUAAACGGCGGCCGUAACUAUAACGGUCCUAAGGUAGCGAAAUUCCUUGUCGGGUAAGUUCCGACCUGCACGAAUGGCGUAAUGAUGGCCAGGCUGUCUCCACCCGAGACUCAGUGAAAUUGAACUCGCUGUGAAGAUGCAGUGUACCCGCGGCAAGACGGAAAGACCCCGUGAACCUUUACUAUAGCUUGACACUGAACAUUGAGCCUUGAUGUGUAGGAUAGGUGGGAGGCUUUGAAGUGUGGACGCCAGUCUGCAUGGAGCCGACCUUGAAAUACCACCCUUUAAUGUUUGAUGUUCUAACGUGGACCCGUGAUCCGGGUUGCGGACAGUGUCUGGUGGGUAGUUUGACUGGGGCGGUCUCCUCCUAAAGAGUAACGGAGGAGCACGAAGGUUGGCUAAUCCUGGUCGGACAUCAGGAGGUUAGUGCAAUGGCAUAAGCCAGCUUGACUGCGAGCGUGACGGCGCGAGCAGGUGCGAAAGCAGGUCAUAGUGAUCCGGUGGUUCUGAAUGGAAGGGCCAUCGCUCAACGGAUAAAAGGUACUCCGGGGAUAACAGGCUGAUACCGCCCAAGAGUUCAUAUCGACGGCGGUGUUUGGCACCUCGAUGUCGGCUCAUCACAUCCUGGGGCUGAAGUAGGUCCCAAGGGUAUGGCUGUUCGCCAUUUAAAGUGGUACGCGAGCUGGGUUUAGAACGUCGUGAGACAGUUCGGUCCCUAUCUGCCGUGGGCGCUGGAGAACUGAGGGGGGCUGCUCCUAGUACGAGAGGACCGGAGUGGACGCAUCACUGGUGUUCGGGUUGUCAUGCCAAUGGCACUGCCCGGUAGCUAAAUGCGGAAGAGAUAAGUGCUGAAAGCAUCUAAGCACGAAACUUGCCCCGAGAUGAGUUCUCCCUGACUCCUUGAGAGUCCUGAAGGAACGUUGAAGACGACGACGUUGAUAGGCCGGGUGUGUAAGCGCAGCGAUGCGUUGAGCUAACCGGUACUAAUGAACCGUGAGGCUUAACCUU
Molecule: ribosomal RNA, 2901 nt
Filed under: Escherichia coli
Lineage: Bacteria; Pseudomonadati; Pseudomonadota; Gammaproteobacteria; Enterobacterales; Enterobacteriaceae
Description: bacterial LSU rRNA
Rfam family: Bacterial large subunit ribosomal RNA
Source: RNAcentral